CGGAACGGGUGAGUAACGCGUGAGGAACCUGCCUCAAAGAGGGGGACAACAGUUGGAAACGACUGCUAAUACCGCAUAAGCCCACAGGUCGGCAUCGACCAGAGGGAAAAGGAGCAAUCCGCUUUGAGAUGGCCUCGCGUCCGAUUAGCUAGUUGGUGAGGUAAUGGCCCACUAAGGCAACGAUCGGUAGCCGGACUGAGAGGUUGAACGGCCACAUUGGGACUGAGACACGGCCCAG
This 238-nucleotide ribosomal RNA is filed under the name uncultured bacterium. Its description in RNAcentral is "partial 16S ribosomal RNA". It matches the Rfam family "Bacterial small subunit ribosomal RNA", at positions 100 to 334 of the family's 1533-position model. The record is from RNAcentral.